GAUGAACGCUGGCGGCGUGCUUAACACAUGCAAGUCGAACGAUGAAGCCCAGCUUGCUGGGUGGAUUAGUGGCGAACGGGUGAGUAACACGUGAGUAACCUGCCCCUGACUUUGGGAUAAGCCCGGGAAACUGGGUCUAAUACCGGAUAUGACUAUGGAACGCAUGGUUUGUGGUUGAAAGAUUUAUCGGUGAGGGAUGGACUCGCGGCCUAUCAGCUUGUUGGUGAGGUAAUGGCUCACCAAGGCGACGACGGGUAGCCGGCCUGAGAGGGUGACCGGCCACACUGGGACUGAGACACGGCCCAGACUCCUACGGGGGGCAGCAGUGGGGAAUAUUGCACAAUGGGCGAAAGCCUGAUGCAGCGACGCCGCGUGAGGGAUGACGGCCUUCGGGUUGUAAACCUCUUUCAGUAGGGAAGAAGCGAAAGUGACGGUACCUGCAGAAGAAGCGCCGGCUAACUACGUGCCAGCAGCCGCGGUAA
RNAcentral lists this ribosomal RNA (482 nucleotides) under uncultured bacterium. Its description in RNAcentral is "partial 16S ribosomal RNA". It matches the Rfam family "Bacterial small subunit ribosomal RNA", at positions 28 to 523 of the family's 1533-position model. The record is from RNAcentral.